GACGAACGCUGGCGGCGUGCCUAAUACAUGCAAGUAGAACGCUGAAGAGAGGAGCUUGCUCUUCUUGGAUGAGUUGCGAACGGGUGAGUAACGCGUAGGUAACCUGCCUGGUAGCGGGGGAUAACUAUUGGAAACGAUAGCUAAUACCGCAUAAAAUUGAUUAUCGCAUGAUAAUUAAUUGAAAGAUGCAACUGCAUCACUACCAGAUGGACCUGCGUUGUAUUAGCUAGUUGGUGAGGUAACGGCUCACCAAGGCGACGAUACAUAGCCGACCUGAGAGGGUGAUCGGCCACACUGGGACUGAGACACGGCCCAGACUCCUACGGGAGGCAGCAGUAGGGAAUCUUCGGCAAUGGGGGGAACCCUGACCGAGCAACGCCGCGUGAGUGAAGAAGGUUUUCGGAUCGUAAAGCUCUGUUGUAAGAGAAGAACGGGUGUGAGAGUGGAAAG
RNAcentral lists this ribosomal RNA (450 nucleotides) under Streptococcus sanguinis. RNAcentral describes it as "bacterial SSU rRNA". It matches the Rfam family "Bacterial small subunit ribosomal RNA", at positions 28 to 464 of the family's 1533-position model. The record is from RNAcentral. Lineage: Bacteria; Bacillati; Bacillota; Bacilli; Lactobacillales; Streptococcaceae.